This 85-nucleotide transfer RNA is filed under the name Felis catus (domestic cat). It matches the Rfam family "tRNA". Rfam says of the family: Transfer RNA (tRNA) molecules are approximately 80 nucleotides in length. Their secondary structure includes four short double-helical elements and three loops (D, anti-codon, and T loops). The record is from Rfam by way of RNAcentral. Lineage: Eukaryota; Metazoa; Chordata; Mammalia; Carnivora; Felidae. RNAcentral also lists the same sequence under 3 other names.
GCCUGGGUAGUUCAGUUGGUUAAGCAUCUGACUUUAGAUCAGGUCAUGAUCUCACAGUUGGUGGGUUCGAACCCCACAUCAGGCU